Molecule: long non-coding RNA, 857 nt
Organism: Scylla paramamosain (green mud crab)
Lineage: Eukaryota; Metazoa; Arthropoda; Malacostraca; Decapoda; Portunidae
Exons: 2
Source: RefSeq, a predicted model, not a curated record
UGGUUACUGUGCACUGAUAAGAUAUCGCUUCAACUAGAUCUGUCUGGCGCAUGCAGACACACACUCACUCACACACACACACACACACACACACACACACACACACACACACACACACACACACGAAAACAAUCAUCCAUAGAAACUCAUCCCCCUCCCUGUCUGUCUGGCUGUCUCCACUUCCUCCUCCACCGCCACCACUACUACCUCCUCCUCCUCCUCCUCCUGCUCCUCCUCCUCUCCCGCAGACAGGAAGUAAGACUCGAGAAGGAAGAGGAGACUGACACAGGAAUAAAAUGAAGAUAAUACUACACCUUCCUCCAUACCUGUCUCAUUCCCCCCUCCACACCCCCUCCAGCCGCUCCACCGUGCCCGUACAGUUACCUCCUGUCAAUCAGUAAUCACUCUCACCUGCCCGCCCCACUAAUUAGCUACGCCGGCCUCUGAUUGGACGGACACACCUGGUCAGCUCUCCAUUGUCCUCCUAACAAUCCCUUAUGUACAGCAGGAGAAUAUCAAGUGAGAGAUGUCAAAGGGAGAACUGAGAUCCCACCUUACUGAGAGCCAGCUAGGUACAGUGACACAAGAAUGGUUGAGUAGAGGGCGUGGUGUGCUGUAGUCUUUGUCAUUGAUGCUGGCUAUUAAAGACAACUGGGAAAGCUAGGGAAAAUAAUGAUAAAUGUGGAUUAUUACUAUUAUUUCUUACUUUAUUGUUUUUUUUUAAUUUCAAUGUAUAAUCUGAAAGUGUUGGUUGGAAAUUAAUAUAUGAAUAUGGAGUAUUAUUGUUAUUUCUUAUUAUAUUUUAUCGAAUUUAAUGCAUAAUUUGAGUGUGAGCUGGAAAUAAAUAAGUACAUAAA